UACCCGAUAGACUCGACUUAUCACACUGCAGCAGACACUGGGAGCAGGACUACACAGCGAGUAUGUAGCGUGCUACGAGUCCUGCACUGUGUCUACUACGCUACACUAGAGACAGUAUUGAUAUCUGCGCUCCUGCUGAGUCAGUUACUCCGAAAAGAGUGAUAGCUCUGAUCAGGCAACAACACCGCUCGUUGCGUUGCUCUUGUUGCAGCAAGCUAGUAUCACGCUCCACAAAGAUUCACAGAUCCUUGGUUCUUGCCAAGGUCGGACUCUUUGAGCGACCUCCGCAUUACGAUAGGUCGUGGCAU
This 308-nucleotide ribosomal RNA is filed under the name uncultured marine bacterium. Its description in RNAcentral is "partial 16S ribosomal RNA". The record is from RNAcentral.